GACGAACGCUGGCGGCGUGCCUAAUACAUGCAAGUAGAACGCACAGUUUAUACCGUAGCUUGCUACACCAUAGACUGUGAGUUGCGAACGGGUGAGUAACGCGUAGGUAACCUGCCUGGUAGCGGGGGAUAACUAUUGGAAACGAUAGCUAAUACCGCAUAAUAUUGAUUAUUGCAUGAUAAUUAAUUGAAAGGUGCAAUUGCACCACUACCAGAUGGACCUGCGUUGUAUUAGCUAGUAGGUGAGGUAACGGCUCACCUAGGCGACGAUACAUAGCCGACCUGAGAGGGUGAUCGGCCACACUGGGACUGGGACACGGCCCAGACUCCUACGGGAGGCAGCAGUAGGGAAUCUUCGGCAAUGGACGAAAGUCUGACCGAGCAACGCCGCGGGAGUGAAGAAGGUUUUCGGAUCGUAAAGCUCUGUUGUAAGAGAAGAACGGGUGUGAGAGUGGAAAGUUCACACUGUGACGGUAUCUUACCAGAAAGGGACGGCUAACUACGUG
Molecule: ribosomal RNA, 505 nt
Filed under: uncultured bacterium
Lineage: Bacteria
Description: partial 16S ribosomal RNA
Rfam family: Bacterial small subunit ribosomal RNA
Source: RNAcentral